RNAcentral lists this ribosomal RNA (504 nucleotides) under uncultured Flavobacterium sp. Its description in RNAcentral is "bacterial SSU rRNA". It matches the Rfam family "Bacterial small subunit ribosomal RNA", at positions 9 to 507 of the family's 1533-position model. Lineage: Bacteria; Pseudomonadati; Bacteroidota; Flavobacteriia; Flavobacteriales; Flavobacteriaceae. The record is from RNAcentral.
GAGUUUGAUCCUGGCUCAGGAUGAACGCUAGCGGCAGGCUUAACACAUGCAAGUCGAGGGGCAGCGCGAUGUAGCAAUACAUUGGCGGCGACCGGCGCACGGGUGCGUAACACGUAUGCAACCUUCCCGCCACUGGGGGAUAGCCCGGAGAAAUCCGGAUCAAUACCCCAUAAUUCCCUGGGAGGCAUCUCCCGGGGCUGAAAACUCCGGUGGUGGCGGAUGGGCAUGCGCCCGAUUAGCUAGUUGGUGAGGUAACGGCUCACCAAGGCGACGAUCGGUAGGGGGCCUGAGAGGGUUAUCCCCCACACUGGUACUGAGACACGGACCAGACUCCUACGGGAGGCAGCAGUGAGGAAUAUUGCGCAAUGGAGGCAACUCUGACGCAGCCAUGCCGCGUGCAGGAAGAAGGCCCUACGGGUCGUAAACUGCUUUUAUCCGGGAAGAACUCCCCCGACGUGUCGGGGGCUGACGGUACCGGAGGAAUAAGCACCGGCUAACUCCGUG